Long non-coding RNA from Tupaia belangeri chinensis (Chinese tree shrew), 458 nucleotides. RefSeq lists it as uncharacterized. Lineage: Eukaryota; Metazoa; Chordata; Mammalia; Scandentia; Tupaiidae. The record is from RefSeq and is a predicted model, not a curated record. The transcript has 2 exons.
GUAACCAAGCAGGGCUCUCUCUCCCUCUUGUCCCCAGGUGGACCCCUCGACCUCAUGUCUUGCAGAGUGGUUGCUGCCGGCACCCGAGAGAUGGCGAUGCUCAUUGCUCAGGCCUUACAAACUAUUAACUACGGACGUGAUGAUGAGAAGUGAGAGGGUCCAGACACCAAGAGUGACGUGCUGAGGCUGGCCUUCCUGGGACGCUGCAGAGGACAACUCCCUGGGGAGGGAGCUGCCCUAGCACCUGGGCUCCACUGCGGGCCAGGUGUCUCACUACCCCAAAGGGAGAUGUCAUGUUCAAGUCUGUGGCUAGCCUUGUUAAACCCACAUCUUUGUCCGGGAUCUGGUAUUUAGAAUGCGAAUCUCAGGUAAUAAGGCUUUAGAACUGCUGAUAAAGCAGACUUGUUCUCAGGCCUCCCCGUGGUCCUUCAGAAUGCAAUAAACUAAAGUGUCGGUGC